AUACAGAGGGUGCAAGCGUUAAUCGGAUUUACUGGGCGUAAAGCGCGCGUAGGUGGCUAAUUAAGUCAAAUGUGAAAUCCCCGAGCUUAACUUGGGAAUUGCAUUCGAUACUGGUUAGCUAGAGUAUGGGAGAGGAUGGUAGAAUUCCAGGUGUAGCGGUGAAAUGCGUAGAGAUCUGGAGGAAUACCGAUGGCGAAGGCAGCCAUAUGGCCUAAUACUGACACUGAGGUGCGAAAGCAUGGGGAGCAAACAGGAUUAGAUACCCUGGUAGUGCAUGCCGUAAACGAUGUCUACUAGCCGUUGGGGCCCUUGAGGCUUUAGUGGCGCAUCUAACGCGAUAAGUAGACCGCCUGGGGAGUACGGUAGCAAGACUAAAACUCAAAGGAAUUGACGGGG
Molecule: ribosomal RNA, 396 nt
Filed under: uncultured bacterium
Lineage: Bacteria
Description: partial 16S ribosomal RNA
Rfam family: Bacterial small subunit ribosomal RNA
Source: RNAcentral